Non-coding RNA from Clostridium cylindrosporum DSM 605, 117 nucleotides. The record is from Rfam. Lineage: Bacteria; Bacillati; Bacillota; Clostridia; Eubacteriales; Clostridiaceae.
UCAAGUGAUGAUGGCAGAGAGGAUACACCCGUUCCCAUUCCGAACACGAAGGUUAAGCUCUCUAACGCCGAUAGUACUAGUCUGGAGACGGACUGGGAGGGUAGGAAGUCGCUUGGU